GUCCGUCACUCGUCCAGCUACCU
Molecule: non-coding RNA, 23 nt
Filed under: Arabidopsis thaliana (thale cress)
Lineage: Eukaryota; Viridiplantae; Streptophyta; Magnoliopsida; Brassicales; Brassicaceae
Source: RNAcentral